Molecule: ribosomal RNA, 432 nt
Filed under: uncultured bacterium
Lineage: Bacteria
Description: partial 16S ribosomal RNA
Rfam family: Bacterial small subunit ribosomal RNA
Source: RNAcentral
AACGAACGCUGGCGGCAUGCCUAACACAUGCAAGUCGAACGAGCCCUUCGGGUCUAGUCGCGCCUGGUUUCGUCACCCGUGGGAACCUUCCCUUAUGUUUGGACUACCUCCCCGACUGGGAUGCUAACACCGGAUAAUAUCUUCUGACCAAAGAUGUAUUGCCUUUGGUUGUGCCCGCGUUGGAUUAGGUCGUUGGUAGGGUAAAAGACUUCUAAGGCGACCAUCCAUAGCUGGUCUGAGAGGAGGAUCAGCCACACUGGGACUGAGACACGGCCCAGACUCCUACGGGAGGCAGCAGGGGGGAAUAAGGGACGACGCGCGAAAGACUGAUGCAGCAAGGCCGCGUGAGUGAUGAAGGCGUUAGGGUUGUAAAGCUCAUUUACCCGGGAUGAUAAUGAGAGUACCGAGAAAAUAAGCACCGGCUAACUCCGU